Molecule: ribosomal RNA, 196 nt
Filed under: Theileria equi
Lineage: Eukaryota; Apicomplexa; Aconoidasida; Piroplasmida; Theileriidae
Description: partial small subunit ribosomal RNA
Rfam family: Eukaryotic small subunit ribosomal RNA
Source: RNAcentral
CAUGCAGUUAGCGGUCAAUAAGAGGGCUGUGACGCCCUUAAAGGGCCUGGGCGGUUUGCGCGAUACACUGAUGCAUUCACUGAGUGUAUCCUUGGCUGAGAGGCUUGGGUAAUCUGAUGUAUGCAUCGUGAUGGGGAUUGAUUAUUGUAAUUCUUAAUCAGAGACGAGGAAUGCCAGAUAUGCGCAAGUCAAAACC